GCCGCCAAAUCCUCUGUCUUCACGCUCAACACCUCUUCAGGUGCCGCCCCUUCCAGUACAGAUAACAAACAAGCACAGAACCCUCGCGUAAUCUCCGAAUCGCUGUCGGUUAAAAAUCUCAUCUUUCCAUAGUGAUCUAACUGGGCAUCGAGCCAGACUUGGGCCGUACAGCCCAUGACCCUGUUGGAGUCUAUCCGGGAGGAGUCUGGAAAAGGGGGGAGAAUAGAGGCAUAAUGAAGGACCCGUUUCACGCGGUCGAUUGAUCCCGGCAGGGAUUGGAAUUCGUUUAUCAGGUGCUGCAGCUUUACCACCCACGAGCUCAGUGGUGGGUGACGGAGAGAAAGCAACAGCAGAGCAGGAAAAGCGAGAAUAUUUAGGGUUAAUAGAAGAAAUAGAUUUGGAAUCAGAGUGCAUGGAAUUAAGGGACCUAAAGGAAAAUGAAGAAUAAUGGGUUUUGUGAGAAUAGAGCCUGCGCUUAGGCGUAGUGCUUGGGGAGACAGAGAAAUGAGAAGAAUAGUAGGAAGAGGCUCUCACGGAGAUGGUUACAGAGGACUCCAUGGAAGAUAGAAGAAGUCCAGAGGGCGAGAGAAGAGGCGAAGGGGAUUGGCCUAAAAGUGCGUGUUAGGAGUGAGAAGUAUGGAUUGGG
This 646-nucleotide unclassified non-coding RNA is filed under the name Hevea brasiliensis (rubber tree). Lineage: Eukaryota; Viridiplantae; Streptophyta; Magnoliopsida; Malpighiales; Euphorbiaceae. The record is from RNAcentral.